This 1059-nucleotide unclassified non-coding RNA is filed under the name Hevea brasiliensis (rubber tree). Lineage: Eukaryota; Viridiplantae; Streptophyta; Magnoliopsida; Malpighiales; Euphorbiaceae. The record is from RNAcentral.
CUGCAUUUCAAUUUCCUGUAGUAUUUAUUCAGAUGUGGUAUACAUUAUGACUUUUCGUUAGGUUUAUUCAGAUUUGAUCUUCAUGAAUUCAAGAACUACUGGGCCAUCCUCUGUUUCCUGCAAAUCGGGAAACAAAAACAGCUUCUUUUUCUGGAUUUUGUUUAACUUGUUGCCAAAGUUUCUGGGGACUCCUAUUACAUACGUUGACUUCCUUUUGAUUAAGGCCAUUGACAGGAGUCCCUCUGCUCUUCGUGUCUUGGAGAUUUGCACAGAGAUCACGAUUUAACCGUGAUAUAUUUGGCCAACUGCAGUUAGUAUGUGUAGGGAGUGAUUGCUUCAACCAUCUGCAGUUGGCAUCCUAAUAAUACCUGGUAACAUGGUUUCCUCUCAAUUAUCUGGGAUGACCAAGACCAACAUGUGCAAGCCAUUGCUUAACCAGUUGUUUUUUUCUGAGAACCCUCCAGACAGUCUAGUGUCAGACCAUGUUGAGCUAGACUUUACUGAUGUAUUUGGUCCUUUUCCAGUUCAGGCAUCAACUGAUGUGAAUUGUGGUGAUUUGGCAAAUCCUUUGACCGGGACAGAUGUUACUGAGCUUAUUUACGAUGAACCAGUUGUCAUUUACAGCCGAUCACAUUCAUUGGUUGGUCCAUUAUCUUGUGUUAGCCAGUCACUGAAGCUCAGUAAGCUCACUUUACAUGAGACAGAAGAUUCUAUGGAACUAGCGGAACUUGAGGAAUCAUCCAUAGAUGAUGAGGCUGUUGAGAAAGCUGUUGAGAAUGUUAGUGGAGAUUCUUUGGAGGUCCGUGGCAUGAGGAUUGAAGAUUUUGAGGUUCUGAAAGUUGUUGGGCAAGGUGCAUUUGCGAAAGUUUAUCAGGUUAGGAAGAAGGGCACAUCAGAAAUAUAUGCAAUGAAAGUCAUGCGCAAGGACAUGAUAAUGGAGCAGAAUCAUGUUGAGUACAUGAAAGCUGAGAGGGACAUUCUGACAAAAAUAGAUCAUCCUUUCAUUGUGCAGCUUAAAUACUCCUUCCAAACCAAAUAUAGAUUAUACCUUGUUUUGGA